Molecule: ribosomal RNA, 446 nt
Filed under: uncultured bacterium
Lineage: Bacteria
Description: bacterial SSU rRNA
Rfam family: Bacterial small subunit ribosomal RNA
Source: RNAcentral
UUCCAGACUCCUACGGGAGGCAGCAGUGGGGAAUAUUGCACAAUGGGGGAAGCCCUGAUGCAGCGACGCCGCGUGAGCGAUGAAGUAUUUCGGUAUGUAAAGCUCUAUCAGCAGGGAAGAAGAUGACGGUACCUGACUAAGAAGCCCCGGCUAACUACGUGCCAGCAGCCGCGGUAAUACGUAGGGGGCAAGCGUUAUCCGGAUUUACUGGGUGUAAAGGGAGCGUAGACGGCCAUGCAAGCCAGGGGUGAAAGCCCGGGGCCCAACCCCGGGACUGCCCUUGGAACUGCAUGGCUGGAGUGCGGGAGGGGCAGGCGGAAUUCCUGGUGUAGCGGUGAAAUGCGUAGAUAUCAGGAGGAACACCGGCGGCGAAGGCGGCCUGCUGGACCGCGACUGACGUUGAGGCUCGAAAGCGUGGGGAGCGAACAGGAUUAGAUACCCCAGUA